Molecule: ribosomal RNA, 466 nt
Filed under: uncultured bacterium
Lineage: Bacteria
Description: partial 16S ribosomal RNA
Rfam family: Bacterial small subunit ribosomal RNA
Source: RNAcentral
GACGAACGCUGGCGGCGUGCUUAACACAUGCAAGUCGACCGGAAAGGCCCAGCUUGCUGGGUACUCGAGUGGCGAACGGGUGAGUAACACGUGGGUGAUCUGCCCUGCACUCUGGGAUAAGCCUGGGAAACUGGGUCUAAUACCGGAUAUGACCGACUGUCGCAUGGUGGUUGGUGGAAAGCUUUUGCGGUGUGGGAUGGGCCCGCGGCCUAUCAGCUUGUUGGUGGGGUAAUGGCCUACCAAGGCGACGACGGGUAGCCGACCUGAGAGGGUGAUCGGCCACACUGGAACUGAGACACGGCCCAGACUCCUACGGGAGGCAGCAGUGAGGAAUAUUGCACAAUGGGCGCAAGCCUGAUGCAGCGACGCCGCGUGAGGGAUGACGGCCUUCGGGUUGUAAACCUCUUGCACCAGGGACGAAGCGUGAGUGACGGUACCUGGAGAAGAAGCACCGGCCAACUACGUG